Molecule: unclassified non-coding RNA, 243 nt
Filed under: uncultured fungus
Lineage: Eukaryota; Fungi
Description: sequence contains ITS1
Source: RNAcentral
GUAUUAAAUUAUUAUGCGUUUGACCGCACAACAAAGACAUUCUAGGACAUACGUAUUUUGUAUAAACAUGAGUAUAUGCGCUUUCAGAAGGUCGUUAUCCAACCCCUUACUCAUUCAUAAUACCCACAAAAGGUGCACAGGUGUAAGAUGGAUGAAGUGAGGCGAGCACAUACCCCGAAAGGUCAGCUACAAACCCCAAGUAUUCAAUCAUUAAUGAUCCUUCCGCAGGUUCACCUACGGAAA